RNAcentral lists this ribosomal RNA (726 nucleotides) under Escherichia coli. RNAcentral describes it as "bacterial SSU rRNA". It matches the Rfam family "Bacterial small subunit ribosomal RNA", at positions 794 to 1520 of the family's 1533-position model. Lineage: Bacteria; Pseudomonadati; Pseudomonadota; Gammaproteobacteria; Enterobacterales; Enterobacteriaceae. The record is from RNAcentral.
UCCACGCCGUAAACGAUGUCGACUUGGAGGUUGUGCCCUUGAGGCGUGGCUUCCGGAGCUAACGCGUUAAGUCGACCGCCUGGGGAGUACGGCCGCAAGGUUAAAACUCAAAUGAAUUGACGGGGGCCCGCACAAGCGGUGGAGCAUGUGGUUUAAUUCGAUGCAACGCGAAGAACCUUACCUGGUCUUGACAUCCACGGAAGUUUUCAGAGAUGAGAAUGUGCCUUCGGGAACCGUGAGACAGGUGCUGCAUGGCUGUCGUCAGCUCGUGUUGUGAAAUGUUGGGUUAAGUCCCGCAACGAGCGCAACCCUUAUCCUUUGUUGCCAGCGGUCCGGCCGGGAACUCAAAGGAGACUGCCAGUGAUAAACUGGAGGAAGGUGGGGAUGACGUCAAGUCAUCAUGGCCCUUACGACCAGGGCUACACACGUGCUACAAUGGCGCAUACAAAGAGAAGCGACCUCGCGAGAGCAAGCGGACCUCAUAAAGUGCGUCGUAGUCCGGAUUGGAGUCUGCAACUCGACUCCAUGAAGUCGGAAUCGCUAGUAAUCGUGGAUCAGAAUGCCACGGUGAAUACGUUCCCGGGCCUUGUACACACCGCCCGUCACACCAUGGGAGUGGGUUGCAAAAGAAGUAGGUAGCUUAACCUUCGGGAGGGCGCUUACCACUUUGUGAUUCAUGACUGGGGUGAAGUCGUAACAAGGUAACCGUAGGGGAACCUGCGGUUG